GACGAACGCUGGCGGCGUGCUUAACACAUGCAAGUCGAACGGAAAGGCCCUGCUUUUGUGGGGUGCUCGAGUGGCGAACGGGUGAGUAACACGUGAGUAACCUGCCCUUGACUUUGGGAUAACUUCAGGAAACUGGGGCUAAUACCGGAUAGGAGCUCCUGCUGCAUGGUGGGGGUUGGAAAGUUUCGGCGGUUGGGGAUGGACUCGCGGCUUAUCAGCUUGUUGGUGGGGUAGUGGCUUACCAAGGCUUUGACGGGUAGCCGGCCUGAGAGGGUGACCGGCGAAAUUGGGACUGAGAUACGGAACAGAAUCGUACGGGAGGAAGCAGUGGGGAAUAUUGCACAAUGGGAGGAAGCAUGAUGAAGAAACGCCGCGUGCGGGAUGACGGCCUUCGGGUUGUAAACAGAUUUCGACUGUGACGAAGCGUGAGUGACGGUAAUGGGUAAAGAAGCACCGGCUAACUACGUG
Molecule: ribosomal RNA, 468 nt
Filed under: uncultured bacterium
Lineage: Bacteria
Description: partial 16S ribosomal RNA
Rfam family: Bacterial small subunit ribosomal RNA
Source: RNAcentral